This 492-nucleotide ribosomal RNA is filed under the name uncultured bacterium. Its description in RNAcentral is "partial 16S ribosomal RNA". It matches the Rfam family "Bacterial small subunit ribosomal RNA", at positions 29 to 507 of the family's 1533-position model. The record is from RNAcentral.
AGCGAACGCUGGCGGUAGGCCUAACACAUGCAAGUCGAACGGCAGCACAGUAAGAGCUUGCUCUUACGGGUGGCGAGUGGCGGACGGGAGAGGAAUACAUCGGAAUCUACUCUUUCGGGGGGGAUAACGAAGGGAAACUUACGCCAAUACAGCAUACGAUCUACGGGGGAAAGCAGGGGAUAUUCGGACCUUGCGCGGUUGAAUGAGCCGAUGUGGGAUUAGCUAGUGGGCGGGGUUAAGGCCCGGCAAGGCGACGAUCCGUAGCCCGACUGAGUGGAUGAUCGGCCACCUUAGAGCUGGGACACGCUCCAUGCUCCUGCGGGAGGCACCAGUGUGGAAUGGUGGGCAAUGGUCGCAAGCCUGACCCAGUCAUCGCGCGUGUGUGACGGAGGCCUUCCGGUUGUGAAGCCCUUUUGUUGGGUAAGAAAAGCAUCAGGUUGAUACCCCGCUGUACUGACGGUAACCAAAGAAUAAGCACCGGCUAACUUCGUG